This 72-nucleotide transfer RNA is filed under the name Sphaerodactylus townsendi. RNAcentral's name for it is "tRNA-Ala". It matches the Rfam family "tRNA". Rfam says of the family: Transfer RNA (tRNA) molecules are approximately 80 nucleotides in length. The record is from RNAcentral. Lineage: Eukaryota; Metazoa; Chordata; Lepidosauria; Squamata; Sphaerodactylidae.
GGGGCUGUGGCUCAGUGAAAGAGCAUCUGCUUGGCAUGGAGAAGGCCCCAGGUUCAAUCCCUGGCAUCUCCA